RNAcentral lists this transfer RNA (73 nucleotides) under bacterium. Its description in RNAcentral is "tRNA-Thr". It matches the Rfam family "tRNA". From Rfam's summary of the family: Transfer RNA (tRNA) molecules are approximately 80 nucleotides in length. Their secondary structure includes four short double-helical elements and three loops (D, anti-codon, and T loops). The record is from RNAcentral.
GCCACUAUAGCUCAAUUGGCAGAGCACUUCUCUUGUAAAGAAGAUGUUAUGGGUUCGAGUCCCAUUAGUGGCU